GGCCGCGGCGCAGCCGAAAGUGACACACAGCUGUUGGCAACAGCUGGAUGCCCCCCGUGCGGCGGCAGCCGGGCCUCGGGGCCGCCAGGCAAAGGGGCGGCAUCAGAAGUGCCCCUCGGGGAGGCCCGGUGCCCUUCGAGGCAGGUUUGCUGCAAACAGCAAGUGCCAGGAGACAGGGUUCGGUGGGGUCAGCGGUGCCCGGCCGGCCGGAGAGCCCGCGGGGACGGCCGGCUCACUGGCUGCUGGCGGUCCUCAAAUGCUUCGAUUCCUCCACGAAGGCUUGUGGUCAAACCUCUGCAGCCUUCACUUACUGCUCUCUCUAGACUAGCAAAACUACUGUGCUGCAACACAUCCAUUUUUAUUGCGGUGGUGCUGGUAGUUGUGGCUCUUGCCGUUCGUUCGGUCAGAAGACGAAAAAAAAUGGAGUGAUGCCACUGAUGAAAAUGUGACAGUUUGGGAAAGAAGUGAAAAAGGAGUGUCUAGACAGAGCAUUCCUGGGAGAGAUGUGAAACUGAGGUUCCUAAACCCAUGGAAAUUUGGAAAUUGAACCAGAGUCACCCAUGUUUUGCCAGCAAGUGCUCACGAAGAAUGUUUGAACUGCAGCUGCAAAGCAGUGAUCUUCCAGGAACUGUUACAGGAAAAGGAAUAUGGUAAAGCACGAGACUUACCAAUUGCUAGAGCUGGUGACAAAAAAACACAGUAUUUGUGACAAGCAGACUGGGUACUGAUUAAUGAGUUUCAUAUUUAACAUGACUGUUUAUUGACUACAGUAGCUUGUUUCUACCAGGUAAGUAUUAAAUCAUGGGAUAAUUAUAAGUAUUUUGGUAGUGUAGUCAAAGGCACAUUAUAUUGAGGAUAGAGGAAGGAAUAUUGCACUGGUCAGAAAUGUGGGGAAAACAUUGUUUCAGACAGGUUGUGCCCACUCUAGUAAUUGAACGUGUCAAGGAAGAUUUCUGAGGAUAAACAACCUUGUCAGGAGUUCAAUUGUCAGAACAGCCUCUGGCAGUAGUUACACUGGCCAGCUAGCACUGUCCCAACAGCCCCCAGGCACAAUACAGAGGACACUCUGGAUCAAGGACCAUUUAAUAGGAUAUAUGAUGACAUUCCAUGCCACUUGACUCCAGGCACGUUUAAUUUCUCACUGCAGAGGAAGUCAGAGUAUAACAGUGUUUUACUGAGGAUUGUGAUCCCUUGUAGUCUCAGGCUGAGAGCUUUGGCUCAGUAACUCCAACUCAAAUAGCUCAUGUUUUUAGCUCUGGGCAUCCAGGGAGUGUAACAGGAAAGGUAAUGGGUCUCACAGCUAAGUGAGAGUAGCACUUCAGAAGGAAGUUUUUAGUGCCAGCAGGACUUUCUGCAGCAGGGUUGUACUCUUUUGAUUUUUAAGUGUGACUCUAAGCAGCUCUCAGAGAUGCUAUCACCUAUAACCAUUACCUUCCAUAUCACUAACUGGCUUUAGUAUCUUCCAGAAUAUAAACAGAAUGAAAAUAAUGGAAGCAGUCAUAUCAGCAUACUGUAGUAUCCAGUCACUACGUAUCGCCACAGAAAACUAAAUGCUCUCAUGUGGAGGAGAGAGAAUUUUCCCAGUGCUGUCUUUGCAAAUAUUUUUCUGAAUUUGCUUAUGUUUACCUUAUUCAUUUUCCUUCCCCACUUUCCUCCAAAGCAAAACAAUUCUUAUUGUGAAAACUGCCAGAGAGGAGGAACAGAUCUAGCACCUGAGUUGUUCAAAUAUUAAAAAUAAAAGAUAGCCUGUUAAGUACAAAGCACAGAAGGAACAAGAGAAAACUGUAUAUAAGGGGAGUGGAAAAGUGAUGAUAGUGGGCAAGUUUAUUCUCCUAUGUAUAUAUCAGUCAGGUCUCUAUUUCAGAACAAAUCACUCCACAGAACGAAAUUCCAGGCAGAAGGGUUAAUGGGAUAGCUGUGAGCGAGGGUACCCAGGGGUCACACACGCAGAUAGGACAUUCUAGCUUGUCUCUGUCCUCACCCUCUGCAAGAUAGUGUCAAUCAGCUGGAAACACAUCUCCAGAGCUGGCUGCUUCAUGGUAAGGAGAGUUUGUGACCAGAGCUUAUGUAUGGUUUCUUUGCAGGAGAGCUCUGUUAAUAUCCCUGACAGGAUCUCUUUAUCCUGUGCCUUCCUAAUCUGCAAGUCAACAGGAAAAGAGAGGGAAUUCAUUGUGCUAAAUUGAGUUCCUGCUGUGUGUGAUCGAUACUGGCUUUACUUUGUAAAGUCGCCUCUUUGUUUUAUCUAAACUUCAUGUUUUGUUUUGCUUUGCUUUGUUUUUCAAAUGAAGGAGAGAAAUAAUAUUGUUAUUGACAUUCUGGGAGGGACUUUUCUAUCCUAAAGCACCCUGGUAUCCAGCCCUCUCUCCUCAUUAAUCCUGCCCUUUCCCCAUGCCUGCUGCUCCCAAACCUUCCCCUGCACAUUAAGAUGUAGAAGCCUUACACCAAUUGGGAUAUUUUCCGUAUUUACUUCUACAGUCACUGAAGUCUUUUUUCAGUGUUUGCUGACUCUGUGCUGGGAAAACAUGGUUUCUCUUGAUAUGCUGCCUGAAAUAAGAACUCUUGGCUCCUCAAAGGAAACCAGCACUUCUGACUGAAGUUAAAAAGAGGACGACUUGUUUUGAAAUGUAAAGGUAACAUUGAAAAACAAAGGGACGUCGAAGGCUCUUGGUUCAUUUUUUUCUCAUUUACAAUCCUUCUGUACCCUUAGUACUACAGUCUAGUACUAAGACUAAUUAAAUGUAAAGUUCUGUAUAUGUAGGAAGUAAUGACAUUAUUUACUGACCCUUUCUGGCAUUAAGCUUCUUGAAGUCAUGCCAAACCAUCGCAUUGUGCAGCACAAUUGUGCUCCCACCAUUCAGUAUUUUGGCUUGGUCUGAAGUGCGCUGAGAGAGACAGGCAGCUAAUGCAAAGCUCUAAGGAACAAAUUUAGUUUCAUCAUUCUGGGUAACAUUAAAAGUGAGAACAGAGCAAUUUAGGAAACAGUGCAGCUUCACAAGAGAGAGCUCCCGAGAGCUGCUGCAGCACACUGUCUCAGCACUACAGGCUGUUUAUAAAACAGAGACUUAUGCAACAUAAAACCAUUUGGAUGUUGAGUUCAAAUGCCUCAAAACUGGAGACAUCUCAGUUCCUGCCAGCUACUCCUGUCUAUCGAAUAUUAAGGCUUAUUUGGGAAUUUGGUCUAGGUGUGUAUUUUGUGUCUCCCCGAAGGAGGAGCAUAUGUAAGGCACUAUGUAGGGCAUAGUGGUCAACCGUGUCUUGCUUUUUGUGAGAAAAGCGUUUGUCCUAGCUGUUCAGACAUUGUUUUGAAAUCGGAGGAUCUUGGUAGUCUAGCAGCAAGGACUGAUAUUUUAAAUGGAACAUUCUUCUUCAGUGUGUAAAGAACUGCAGUGCAGCAAGGACAGGAAAAAGCCUAGUGACUCCUCUGCAUGCUGGAGAGAAGGCAAACUGGGUCAUAAGGAACAGUAUCAGGAAUAGAAGAACAAAAUGAGGAAGGGAAGAGAAAGAGACAAAAUUGGUAAGAGGGGAGAAGAAAGACAGACUCAUGAAGGGAGGAACUCUGACCAUGCCCCACAGGGACCUCGAGCAGCACUCUCAGCAAUGAGCUUUAUGGACAAACACAAGUGUCAGCCUCAGCCUGACCCUGCAAGCUCCCACCAGCACAGGAUCCUGGCUAUUGCCUUUCCUUUAGACAGAUGCAAACCCCCAUAAAAGCAAAACCGGCCCCUGAUCCUCUGAUUGUUUUGAGUAUUUCUUUCCCUUGCUCUGAACUCUUAAUUUCAGCAUCACACAGAUUAUUUCCCUUCGAUAGAGGGGACUCUUGUAGGAAAAAUCUCUGAGGAAGAUGGCUGGCAUUGCUUCCUGUGGCAGAGUUGCCUCUGGUGUAAGAGAAGAAGCAAACUGAUAGUACAUACAUCAUUUUACUUCCCUUGAACUUGUCUUUCUGUAUUCUUGGAACUCUAUUUUUUUCUCCCGUUUUUCUUCCUGGUGACAGCGUGAACGAAUAGUUAUUCACAUCUUUCUUUUAGCUGGGUAUCUUAGGAAACUGACUUAAAAGGGACGGCGGCAUAAAUACAGCACGCACGGAAUAUUCUCUCUUCCUGUUCAGAAAUUCAGGGGGGAGGGAAAAAAAAAAGAAGCCAGGAUUAAACACCUGACCUCUCCAGUGGCAAUGCUGGGGCAGGGAGCGGCGCCGGGAGAAGAGUUCCGCGGGGCAGGGUGACCCCUGCCGGGGUUCUUUGUGCUGGAAUUCCAGGGAAAAUCCCAAGGCUGGAGCAGCAAGCUGCACUCAAGCCUGUGUGCUCAGAGGAGCUUGACUACGUGUUACAGCAUCGUGCACCGACCAUUUCUUCAUCAUGCAAGCAGGAGGCUCCAAAAGGCCUCCCCACACACAUUACCUGAGGCAACACAGGGUGAUUUUCAGGUUUUCGUCUCUACUGCUAAUAUAAUUUUUUUGCAAAACAUGCCAACUGGACCAGGCCUGGAGGUGGGCUGAAGGAGUAGGCUCUAUCUAAUGGACUGCCUUUCUCAGCUUCUCAGUGCUUGGUCUGUGAUUUGAGAGAAGAGUGGUCCUGUGCUACAGCUGGAUUUCCUUGGCUGGGAAAGUGGAAAGGAAGAAUGUAUCACCUGUAGCUGAAGACAUUUGCAGGGAGGAGGACAUUUGCAAGAGGAGCUCUUCAUAUUUGCAAGACAGACCCGGAUUGAUUCAUUGAUACAGCUGCUCCUUUUCUAGAAAACCAUUCUUCAAAAGAGCGGAGUGCAGCAGCAUGCUUCAGCCUCCAGGAUUCACACCACUACCUUUAGGAAGCAGAAGAACAGAGGGAGUACAGACAUCUCAGGACUAAGACCAAGACAGAGAGACUCAAAACCAGGGUUCUGUGGGCAUGUACCUGUCACCUUGCAGAAGAACCAUGAAAAAUACCUUCUCAGCUUGUAACUGGAUAAAUUGAAGUGAUUUGAGAGCCCCGCGACGCAGCCUGCUACAGGAACGGGGACUUCUCUGGAACACUGGCGUGCGCAGGGAUUAAUCCCGCCGUAGAGAGCCAGCCUGGCCUUUGAAGUGUUACAAGGGAAAGGAGGAGUCACAUUGCAGGCCAAGCCAGAUGGGCAAGCAAUACAAGCUGUGAAUUUAUUCUUGACCCCAUAGGACAGUGACCACCGUCAUUUUUGUCUUCGCCGUACAGUUAUGCACUGCCAAUAAGUGAAAAGGUCAAGAAAAGCAGUAGCUCAGUGGCUGAAUUUUUCUGAAGUGCUUUACAGCAGGGAAAGUGGGGAAACCUCUUAAAGUGGUGUCUUAUUCAGUUCAGAAGUGGAGGGAUCCUAACAGUGAGGAACCACCACUGCAGGUUGUUGAUGUGGCCAGGGCAGCAUUUGGAUUUUGCAGGUGGAGUUUGCCGUGGGAUCUGCUGUGCUCAGAGAGGCUCAGCAUCAAACCCCUCUUGUACUGCAACACACAACUUGCUGUGGGCUUGUGGGAGCCAAAGGUGCCCUGGGGUGAGGCAGCAUCAGCCGAGUUUUUCCAGGGGCAAAGGAUGCUAUAGGAUCCUGGAGCACAGGGAAAGAGUUUUAAUGCAAAAUACCAGAAAAAAAAGUCUGCAACAUCUCCUGUGAGAGGGGGGAAAAAAGGAGAUUAACAAUUGCAUCUUGAAACACUCAUGAUUUGAGGCCAUAUGUGUCCUUUGAACUCUGAAGAAGCUGUGCCAAAAGGAAGCCUUCUUCUCCUCCCCUCCUCCCAUCGUGGAGCCGCUCUUAGAUAAUUGCAAUUAGCAGACAAUGCGGAGCGAACGCAAAUGUGAAGUUCGUGGCUCUACCUUACUUUAUUUGAAAGAGGAAAGCCAGUGAGGACCUGUGAACAAUCCAGCAGCUUCUGAAAAAUCUUCAUGCUAAAGGAUAAUCCAGAAUUCCCUGAAGAAGAACAUAGUGAAUGUUGUUUUUUCACUUGAUUUGCUGUCCCUACCUAAGCAUACAGUUCCACUUCUUGCUGUUUCAACAAUCCUCUCCUUGCUCUGGAUCACUGGAAAGUUAUGCAGUAACUUCUCGUUUGCUUCUGCAGUGAUGACACUGGCAGUGUUGUAACAUGAGAAUGUUUUUGAAGCCUGAGUGUGGGCAUAUGAUUGUCAAAGUUAAGGGGUUUUAAUAUAGAAUUUGAACCACACUGCUUCAUUUAUGAGAGAUUUUCUUUGUCAUCCAUAAAAUGAGGAAGGUAACCACAUGAAGUUCCUCGUGAAUCAUGGGGAUUGCAGAGCCAGAAGUCCUUUGUCCUUCCAAAGCAUUGGUUUUUGUGCCUUUUACAAAAAAGAAAGUCAGUCUGUCCAGACUCGCAUGAAUCUGUAUUUUUUUACCUCUCUUAAAUGUUCAGCGGACAUGAAAAACCUUCCUCUGUGUAGCAGUGGAAAUACCAGUGCAAGUAAAAAAGAUUCCAGUGUUCGUUUUCCCAUUCAUCACAGUUCUCGGAGAUUUUUGUGGAAAAUUCACCCCUGAGGACUAAACUAAACCUAGAUUAUGGGAUUAAAAAAACCUGAAGCACUGUUUUGGGGAAUUUCUGAAAAGUCCCUUGUUCCCAGUGAAAUCUCUUUUUUACUCUGCUUCCCAUUUUGCAGAAAGCACAUUCCUCACACCAGCGUUGCCAUGCUCGUCAGUUCAGCAAAUGUUUCCUUGGCAUUGCACUUGCUGUUUUUGAACCAUGAAAUGCUUUUAGGUAAAGUUAUCAUAAUAUAAACUGAAAAUUGACAGGCUGAAUAGUUGUGGUUAGUAUGUGCUAUAGUGGUGAUGACAUGGGAAAAUAUGUUGUUUUUCUCCAGAUGACUGUUUGAGGUUAGUUCUAGACCAUUUUGUUCAUGAUGCGCCAGCUAAAAUUAAGAGAGCAUGGCUUUGAAGUAAGCAAGUUAAUUUGAUUUUUUUUUAAAACCUGAUAAAGGCCUGUUUUCAAACAAUAGCUGUUGCUGUUAUUUUGGGAAUUAAGAAGAACAGAACCAGCCAUUAAAAGGAGUAAAAGGGUAAAAGGACUAAAUUCCCCUUUCCAAGAAGUCUGUCUUGCUGCAUAAUCUAACCAAAGGUGUCUCACUCACAGCUCUGGCAGAGGCACGGCGUGGCCUUCAGGGCAAAAGUCGACAGAGUUCAGAAGCCUCUUGUUCAGCAGAAAGUGGCAGUGUGAUAGCAGCAGGCAAAGCUGGUGCUUUCUGCUGGCAGCAGGAACAGCAUUCCACAGACCUGUUCCUUAGGUACCUUUCUGGUAUUAACAACUAGAGUGGUGCAGCACCAUGGCAGGAUGGCAGCUCAGCAUCACUUCAUCAGUGUGGGACAAGCUACAUGGACCACAAGAUGUCACAGUGCUGAGUCAGGCAGGCAGUGCUCUAAAGAACCACAGAAAUUCGUGCCCUGUUCAUAAGAUAGAAGCAAAAAAAGGGAGCCAUUAGGCAGGAGGGGAUGUUGGAUGUCUUCAUAUCUAAUGCGAAAAACAAAGGUGACUCAAAUAUCACUUUCUUCCCAGACAGAAGUCUUUUUGGUGUGGGCUGCCAGUUGGUUUCAGGAGUGAUAUGCAAAACACAUUGAAUUUGUGAGUGGCUAAAUCAUAGAUUCUUUUUCUUUCAUCUGCCUCCGUGUCACUUUGUGUUGCAAGGUUGCAGCUGCAUGUAAAAGGCUUGACCUAUUUAACUGAACCCUGAAACAACUCCAAUGAACUGCAGCAGAAAGAGAAGCAGAGCAAAGUAGAAGGUUAGCAGAAGACUCAUUAACCAAACUCACAUUUUGAAAUAAACUCCUGCAUUUCUGGAAAAGACCUAACUGCAUCUGCUACACCAAUGUGUGAGUUUGGUUUAAAUUUGCUCCAAGGUCUUUGUAGUGUUUGAGCACGGAGAGACAAAUUAGCUGUGUAGGAGCAGCAGCCUUAAAGGUGAGUGUGCUUGCUUUCACCCCAGCUGAAAUGCAGACCCAAAGUAAGGCUGUUAGGACAGUCCACUCCAGUGAAUAUUUUUCUGAUAUUUCUAUUUUUUCUUUGCUUGCAUGGGUGAAUCUCAGCUCUUUUUGGGAUGUGAAGAAGACUGGGCAGUAGAGCAUGCUUGCAGACAUCUUCCCUGCCUGGGAGCUAAGGUGCCUCUGAGGCUUCUUGAAAGUUAGACCAUGCUGACUUUUGUGUGGUGCACUUUAGCCUCAGCAAACAGUAAGAGCAUACAGUAUGGGUGGCUUGUUUCUAAAACUCUGCCAAAGAGCCAGAGGUGGAGAUAGUCUUCUAAUGCUAAUAUUCUCCUAAUUCUGACAAUCUUCUAGUGACUCCUGAAGGCACCACUCCCUUUUCUCAGCAAUUCUUUUUUCACUCCCGUGUGUACUUAGUACUGGCCAGUACUCUGAGUAGUUUAACUUUAAGGCCCAACUCAGAAAAGUUCCCAUUUUCCCUACUUCUGAUGAAAAAUUGUAAAAUAUUUUAAUCUGUUUCAUUUAUGUGAAAUUUUAUAUUUGAAUGUUUCAGUAAUGGGAUGAUAGCAUUUUGAUUAAUAUGAUCUUAUAGUCUGCCCAGUACAGUUCAAUGAAGUUAAGCAUAUAGAAUAUAAAUAAAACUACCAACUUAGACAAGGACAAUCAGUUGUUAUGAUCAUCCAAAUGGUGACCUUUCAGUCUUGGCAUUUGAGUAUCCAGAAAUGAAGGCAGGUGGAAGAGCUAGCUGCUUCUCUCAGGCAGAUAUCCUUCAAAGGGUACUUCAAAGUUCACCACAAGGAAAAAAUGUGUUGUUGCACAUUGUGUAUCUAAAAUAGGAGAUGAGAUUUUGGCAAUUCCCUGGAUCAGUUACUGACAUGUUUAUUUUUUCUUUUCCUGGGCCUUUUACCCCACUUUUUUCAUUCAUUGCGUGAGAGUCCUGUUUAUAAGACAGAAGCAAGCAAACAGAGCGGUAGAUAAGAGGGCUUGCUUGUGUUGAUGUGUUUAAUAGUAAAAACCAAAGUGACUCAACAGUCACCUUCUUCAAAAAUAGGAAUGUUUUUGGUGAGGGCUGCCAGUGCAUGGUAGGAUGUGGUGGCUGAUCACCUGUGCCUUUUAUUUCCAUGGCUUUGCUCCCUGUCUUCAGGGCAAACACUUGCACAACAGUUUGGUCAAACCACUACCCAGGGACAGGGCCUUUUCCUUGAAAUUAUGCUGGGAGGAAAUUCACACACACGCAGUGGGAUGCCGAGCACAGUGGGAUUCCAAUCCUGACUGGGGCCUCUGGGCACAAUGCUGUCAUAAAUUUUAAGUAAUAAUAAUACUGUAAAAAGUUAAAUAAAUGUGUCAAGUUAAUUUUAUGCUCCCCUCCCCUCAGGCAAAUUAUCAUAAAUUGAAUUUUGUAAUAAUUAGUCCAAGGAGUUAACACCGAAUAGAUAUACCUGAUUUCUGUGAAUUGUGUUAAUACAUGGAUGACAGAUUCUGCAAGGAGCAGAAAGACUUCCAGACUGACCUGUCAGGAUCAGCUCCAGUUGUACAGAUACUGUAAGACUGCCUUUGCCAUUAAUUGGGUUGAUUGUAGGCUACAAGUAUAUUGCCAUACAGUUCAGAUUUUGGUCCCUUACAUUUACAGCCUUACAAAAUAAUACACUGCACUGUGUGCAUUGGGCUUGUUAAACUGUUGUAAUAAAGCAUUUUACAAUUCCAGGCGGCCCUUCCCAAACGUAUUGUAGAGCCUAUUAACAAACACCUGUCAAGUUCAAUUGAAAUGUCUGAGUGGUCUGAUCUACAGCAUCUGCUGCCGUGCCAGAGAAAGCAGGGCUUGCACAGCGCCAAGCAGCGUGCCCAGAGAUGGGUUUUUUGGGAGCUCAAAAGGGGGGCCUCAAGGAGCUCUUGGCUUGCCUUUCAACCCGGUGGAUUUUGGUAGUAAGUAGUGAGGAAAAAACGCACUCUCCUUUCCCUGUCACUCGGCUGUGACAUCAGUCUCAGAGCAUUUCAAGCUUUUCAUUCUCUUGCUUUUUUCUCCAUUUUUUCAAGUGAGGAUACAGAAGUGUAAACAGAUCUUUUUCUCUGCUGCUGACUUUAAUGAGGGCUGGCCCCUGCUACAUGUGUGAAAAUUUCUUGGCUAGGAAGGAUCUAAUGUUCGUUCUACCGUAGCUUUGGAGAUAAAGUCCAAACUCCCUAUUUGCUUCUCUUGACAGAGAGUGCUACUUACAUGCAUUUGCUUCCAGAGAUUGAGCUUACAAAAGAGGAGAGAGGGAAAAUUAGCCCAAUAGCAUCUCAGAAAUGUUUGUGGAGGGUUAUUUGUUUUGUGUUUGGGGAUUUUUUCCUUUUUUUUU
This is an RNA transcript of Parus major (Great Tit), 10244 nucleotides long. It is a transcript of the gene named ataxin 1, with no coding region annotated. The record is from RefSeq and is a predicted model, not a curated record. Lineage: Eukaryota; Metazoa; Chordata; Aves; Passeriformes; Paridae. The transcript has 18 exons.